GAGUAGCUGUGACUACAGGCACCCGCCACCAUGCCCGGCUAAUUUUUUGUAUUUUUAAUAGAGAGGGUUUCACCGUGUUAGCCAGGAUGGUCUCAAUCUCCUGACCUCAUGAUCCAACCGCCUUGGCCUCCCAAAGUGCUGGGAUUACAGGCGUGAGCCACCCGCCUGGCUGCAUCCGUUGCAUUCCUAGACACCUGACUCACGGAGCAUUUAUGAGGGAUAGUUGCCUCCGAGUGUCUCAUGCUUUUUGUCAGCCUCUCUCUCUGCCAUUACUCUGAUAAAUCUCCGUCCGCUGCCACUCUCUUCUCCUGCAGGGACCAGUUCUAGGACCUGGUGUAGGGUCUCUGGGACCCAAAGUUCAUCAGUGAGUUCUUCCUCCAGAUUUUUCAAGCAGGACCCGAGAGAGAAAAUCCAUGUUCCUCCACACUCUUGGAAUUUUUAGGGCGUGGGCCUCGAGGCUGUUGGUAGACAAGAGCUCCUGCUGUGUGGACAGGAUGAUGGCCUCUAAGAAGCCUCAAACCCCAGCAGUCUGGCUGAGACCAUUGUGUUGUCCCAGCGUGUGACAGUGAGGGGACACUCAGGACACACAAGGCCGUGGUGGAGCGAAGCUUCUGGGCCCGCACCGUCCUCGUGUGAACGCUAUGUCUGCCUUUCCUGCAACGUGCUCACCUGGGCCUGCACGGAGCUCCUCUCACGUAAGUUUCCCCACUGCGAGCCCUUCGAGAACAAUGUCAUGUUGAUCGAUGGCAGUGACUCACGCCAGACCUUUCCAUGCCUCCUCUGCAAGGACUCAGGAGAGUCGAGAGCAAAACCAUGCCAUAGCUCCAUGAAGGAGGGCAAAGAGCUUUAUCCACGCUGAAGAACAGGCGGAUCUCGUGGCUACAGCAUUGGUCUUUACCUUUUAACUGCUUGAUUCGAAACAUUCCAGCCAGGUAUGGUGUGAGCCACCGUAAUCCCAGCACUCUGGGAGGCCAAGGCGGGUGGAUCACUUGAUCUCAGGAGUUUGAAACCAGCCUGGGCAACCUGGCAAAACCCCAUCUGUACAAAAAAAUACAAAAAUUAGCCAGGCGUGGUGUGUGUGCCUGUGGUUCCAGCUACUCGGCAGGCUGCGGCUGGAGGGCCACUUGAGCCCAGGAAGUGGAGGUUGCAGUGAGCUGAGAUCAUGCCAGUGCACUCCAGCCUGGGUGAUAGAGCCAGACAUUGUCUCCAAAAAAAAAAGAAGAAAAAGGAGAAAUAGUCCAAGACUAUGGAGAAAGCCUUCUUUGGGGUCAGUGUGAACCAUUCUUUCAUUCGUUCAACAAAUGCUUACUGAGGAGCUACCAUGUCCCGGAAAUUGCCUCCACCUCCAGGAAGACAGUGGUGAGCAAGUCAGACAAUCUCUAAUCUCAUGGAAUUUAUAAAUAAAUGGGCCGUUACAAUUACCAGAUCAGAAGUGCUGUGAUGAGCAAAUAGAGGCUCAUGGGAAACUCCUAAGAAGGGCUUCUGAGCUGGACUUGGGGGUCAGGAAAGGCAGAAUGCGGGGGCUGACUCAUCCAGAC
RNAcentral lists this long non-coding RNA (1538 nucleotides) under Macaca mulatta (Rhesus monkey). RNAcentral's name for it is "lncRNA (ENSMMUG00000057694.1)". The record is from RNAcentral. Lineage: Eukaryota; Metazoa; Chordata; Mammalia; Primates; Cercopithecidae.